Molecule: ribozyme, 74 nt
Filed under: Chrysemys picta bellii (western painted turtle)
Lineage: Eukaryota; Metazoa; Chordata; Testudines; Emydidae
Description: Mammalian CPEB3 ribozyme (ENSCPBG00000018282.1)
Rfam family: Mammalian CPEB3 ribozyme (bases 10-74)
About the family: The mammalian CPEB3 ribozyme is a self cleaving RNA located in the second intron of the CPEB3 gene which belongs to a family of genes regulating messenger RNA polyadenylation. This ribozyme is highly conserved and found only in mammals. There is currently only one other known self cleaving ribozyme in mammals, the CoTC motif.
Source: Rfam by way of RNAcentral
CCCGGCUUCAGGGCCAUAACAGGAACGUUCAUGUCAUGACCCCUGUCAGAUUCUCUGGAUCUGCGAAUCCUGCU